ACAUGAAAUUACUCUUGUGCUUGCUAAAACUGGAAUGAUACAGAGAAGACAAGCAUGGCUCCUUCACAAGGAUGGUAUGCAAAUUUGGAUACUGUUCUACACAUUU
Meriones unguiculatus (Mongolian gerbil) is the source of this 106-nucleotide small nuclear RNA. The record is from Ensembl. Lineage: Eukaryota; Metazoa; Chordata; Mammalia; Rodentia; Muridae.